GAAAGUAAACGCGAUAGACAGUAUAAUAGCCUACAAUUCGUUCCAUUGAAACAAUACAUCCACUCACAUCAGGAAAGAAACACACCAACUCAAAAAUGCAGAACUUUUCGCUCCUGCUGGUGCUACUAGCUGUUGUUAGUUUCCUGCAAGGCUCGAACGCCAAUCGUAGACUGGAGACUGAACGUCUACCUCCAAUUCCAUCUCAUCGCUGAAACUAGACGUUCACAGAUGUUUACACUCGUAUAAACAGAAAAAUCAAAACUUUUGGCCGAUUAAUCCAUUCCAGACAAUGCAACUACUUGUUAGCUGAUGAUUUAAAAAAUAAAUAAACCGAUUUUCAUUGA
Molecule: long non-coding RNA, 344 nt
Filed under: Nilaparvata lugens (brown planthopper)
Lineage: Eukaryota; Metazoa; Arthropoda; Insecta; Hemiptera; Delphacidae
Description: uncharacterized LOC120349438
Source: RNAcentral